UGGGACACCAUUGCCCGAACGAACCAGCGAUAUGGAGCGAUCCGAGUAAUUGCCCUCGGGCCCCCGUUGUUGGAUGGACGGUCGGACAGACAAGCAACCACGCGCGACUGCCUGCUACCUGUUGCAUGGCAUUCAUGAGCUAGAAGUGAGAGUUCGUACUCGCGUUCGCCCACACCCUCGAUCUGUUGCUUUCUCUUCUCGACUACCAGACGAUGGAGAUCGCGUGUUGGACGAACAAGGGGGUUUGUGGUCGUUCGUCGGAAGUCAGUCUUGUACCUGAACUCCUCAACACCGGUCGGUUGUCAUGAGUGCGGGGGUCCCAUAGGACUAUUAUGAAAGAAAGUUUGUUUUCAAGUACUGGGACUUUACGAAUUGAAGAUCUGGAGAUAGCACCACGUGCUGCAAGCGGUGAUUAAAAGACUUUUAUUCUUUUACAGAUUAGAAUUUAAAAUGAUUUUGCACGAAUGGACUUUAAAAAAUUUUGAUCAGCAAGAUUAAAAAGGAAAACAUAAUUAUUGACAACUUUCCCCCCGUGUGAUAGAUACCUCAAUAGAACUUAGUAAAUUUUUAUUACCUUAGACUCUGGAGCGAAUUGUGGUACCUUUUAUAUACUAGUGAACUUCAAGAAACUAAGCGCAACAACAAAUAAAGUGAUAUAAAAUUUUGUUAGAAAAAAAAUACAAUUUCUUCUUCGAUUAAUGGAUUUAUGAACAAAUGAAAAGUGAAAAUAUACUCAGUGGAUAAAUAGUUUUGCCGUCAAAUGUUAUUUAUUUUCGCAAAUGAGAGAUAUUAGAUUUAUAACACAGUGUUUAUAAAAAGUUAGGACAUUGUCGAUAAAUCAAAAACUAAUUUCGACGAACUUAGUUGUCGAGAAAGCGGACCUUAACAGUUUGAUGUUGUGCCUUAAUUGGAAUUUUCAGUGAUCAACAUUUCAUUAUUUCAAUCCGGAAAGACUAAACGAGCACAUUGGGACGUGUCAUUUCUCUGAAGACAGCAAUCAAGGGGAGAAAGAAUACAAGUGUCGGCAGUGCCCGAAAGUUUUUAAUUGGAAGUCCAACC
Molecule: unclassified non-coding RNA, 1059 nt
Filed under: Stegodyphus dumicola
Lineage: Eukaryota; Metazoa; Arthropoda; Arachnida; Araneae; Eresidae
Description: histone-lysine N-methyltransferase PRDM16-like, transcript variant X1
Source: RNAcentral